RNAcentral lists this ribosomal RNA (500 nucleotides) under uncultured bacterium. Its description in RNAcentral is "bacterial SSU rRNA". It matches the Rfam family "Bacterial small subunit ribosomal RNA", at positions 45 to 507 of the family's 1533-position model. The record is from RNAcentral.
UGCCUAAUACAUGCAAGUCGAACGCACUCUCGUUUAGAUUGAAGGAGCUUGCUCCUGAUUGAUAAACAUUUGAGUGAGUGGCGGACGGGUGAGUAACACGUGGGUAACCUGCCCUAAAGUGGGGGAUAACAUUUGGAAACAGAUGCUAAUACCGCAUAAAACCUAACACCGCAUGGUGUAGGGUUGAAAGAUGGUUUCGGCUAUCACUUUAGGAUGGACCCGCGGUGCAUUAGUUAGUUGGUGAGGUAAAGGCUCACCAAGACCGUGAUGCAUAGCCGACCUGAGAGGGUAAUCGGCCACACUGGGACUGAGACACGGCCCAGACUCCUACGGAGGCAGCAGUAGGGAAUCUUCCACAAUGGACGAAAGUCUGAUGGAGCAACGCCGCGUGAGUGAAGAAGGUUUCGGAUCGUAAACUCUGUUGUUGGAGAAGAAUGUAUCUGAUAGUAACUGAUCAGGUAGUGACGGUAUCCAACCAGAAAGCCACGGCUAACUACGUG